Molecule: ribosomal RNA, 1114 nt
Filed under: Lactobacillus sp.
Lineage: Bacteria; Bacillati; Bacillota; Bacilli; Lactobacillales; Lactobacillaceae
Description: bacterial SSU rRNA
Rfam family: Bacterial small subunit ribosomal RNA
Source: RNAcentral
CGGGCGGGUGCUAUACAUGCAGUCGAACGCGUUGGCCCAAUUGAUUGAGGGUGCUUGCACCUGAUUGAUUUUGGUCGCCAACGAGUGGCGGACGGGUGAGUAACACGUAGGUAACCUGCCCAGAAGCGGGGGACAACAUUUGGAAACAGAUGCUAAUACCGCAUAACAACGUUGUUCGCAUGAACAACGCUUAAAAGAUGGCUUCUCGCUAUCACUUCUGGAUGGACCUGCGGUGCAUUAGCUUGUUGGUGGGGUAACGGCCUACCAAGGCGAUGAUGCAUAGCCGAGUUGAGAGACUGAUCGGCCACAAUGGGACUGAGACACGGCCCAUACUCCUACGGGAGGCAGCAGUAGGGAAUCUUCCACAAUGGGCGCAAGCCUGAUGGAGCAACACCGCGUGAGUGAAGAAGGGUUUCGGCUCGUAAAGCUCUGUUGUUAAAGAAGAACACGUAUGAGAGUAACUGUUCAUACGUUGACGGUAUUUAACCAGAAAGUCACGGCUAACUACGUGCCAGCAGCCGCGGUAAUACGUAGGUGGCAAGCGUUAUCCGGAUUUAUUGGGCGUAAAGAGAGUGCAGGCGGUUUUCUAAGUCUGAUGUGAAAGCCUUCGGCUUAACCGGAGAAGUGCAUCGGAAACUGGAUAACUUGAGUGCAGAAGAGGGUAGUGGAACUCCAUGUGUAGCGGUGGAAUGCGUAGAUAUAUGGAAGAACACCAGUGGCGAAGGCGGCUACCUGGUCUGCAACUGACGCUGAGACUCGAAAGCAUGGGUAGCGAACAGGAUUAGAUACCCUGGUAGUCCAUGCCGUAAACGAUGAGUGCUAGGUGUUGGAGGGUUUCCGCCCUUCAGUGCCGGAGCUAACGCAUUAAGCACUCCGCCGGGGAGUACGACCGCAAGGUUGAAACUCAAGGAAUUGACGGGGGCCCGCACAAGCGGUGGAUCAUGUGGUUUAAUUCGAAGCUACGCGAGAGCUUACCAGGUCUUGACAUCUUGCGCAACCUAGAGAUACGGUCGUUUACAUCGGACGCAGUGACAGGUGGUGCAUGAUCGUCGUCAGCUCGAUGUCUGGGCAUGUGCGAUAGUACCGCACGAGUCGCUAUCCAUUGUUACUAGUG